This 259-nucleotide ribosomal RNA is filed under the name uncultured prokaryote. Its description in RNAcentral is "partial 16S ribosomal RNA". It matches the Rfam family "Bacterial small subunit ribosomal RNA", at positions 917 to 1178 of the family's 1533-position model. The record is from RNAcentral.
GGGCCCGCACAAGCAGCGGAGCAUGUGGUUUAAUUCGAAGCAACGCGAAGAACCUUACCUAGACUUGACAUCUCCUGCAUUACUCUUAAUCGAGGAAGUCCUUUCGGGACAGGAUGACAGGUGGUGCAUGGUUGUCGUCAGCUCGUGUCGUGAGAUGUUGGGUUAAGUCCCGCAACGAGCGCAACCCUUAUUGUUAGUUGCUACCAUUUAGUUGAGCACUCUAGCGAGACUGCCCGGGUUAACCGGGAGGAAGGUGGGG